ACAUGCAAGUCGAACGCGGAAGAAAUUCUCUCGGGAUUUUUGAAGAGCGGCGAACGGGUGAGGAACACAUAAGAUCUACCUUUCGGUUGGGGAUAAACUUCCGGAAACGGGAGCUAAAUACCCAAUAUGCUGUGGAGUGAAAGAAUUUUCGCCGAAAAGACGAUCUUGCGUCUGAUUAGCUAGUUGGGGUGGUAAUGGCACACCAAGGCGACGAUCAGUAGCUGGUCUGAGAGGAUGGACAGCCACAUUGGGACUGAGACACGGCCCAGACUCC
RNAcentral lists this ribosomal RNA (274 nucleotides) under unidentified marine bacterioplankton. RNAcentral describes it as "partial 16S ribosomal RNA". It matches the Rfam family "Bacterial small subunit ribosomal RNA", at positions 53 to 339 of the family's 1533-position model. The record is from RNAcentral.